CAAUAGCGUAUAUUAAAGUUGUUGCGGUUAAAAAGCUCGUAGUUGGAUUUCUGCUGAGAACGACCGGUCCGCCCUUUGGGUGUGUAUCUGGCUCUUUCUUGGCAUCUUCUUGGUGAACGUUGCUGCACUUGACUGUGUGGAGCGCUACCCAGGACUUUUACUUUGAGGAAAUUAGAGUGUUUCAAGCAGGCAUACGCCUUGAAUACAUUAGCAUGGAAUAAUAAGAUAGGACCUCGGUUCUAUUUUGUUGGUUUCUAGAGCUGAGGUAAUGAUUAAUAGGGAUAGUUGGGGGCAUUCGUAUUUAACUGUCAGAGGUGAAAUUCUUGGAUUUGUUAAAGAUGGACUACUGCGAAAGCAUUUGCCAAGGAUGUUUUCAUUG
This 379-nucleotide ribosomal RNA is filed under the name uncultured eukaryote. RNAcentral's name for it is "partial 18S ribosomal RNA". It matches the Rfam family "Eukaryotic small subunit ribosomal RNA", at positions 592 to 975 of the family's 1831-position model. The record is from RNAcentral.